This is a long non-coding RNA of Triticum aestivum (bread wheat), 472 nucleotides long. RefSeq lists it as uncharacterized. The record is from RefSeq and is a predicted model, not a curated record. The transcript is spliced from 2 exons. Lineage: Eukaryota; Viridiplantae; Streptophyta; Magnoliopsida; Poales; Poaceae.
UUAUUAGCUACAGAAAAGAAUGAUUGAAACAUUUGAAUGGCAAGAUAGCUGACCAUCAGGAUCUGUUGUAUCCUGCUUGAUGUUUUCAGCAUCAGAAAAAUCCCCAGCUGGAUAUUCAAGAACAGAUACAGGGCUUGCCUGCUCAAUCUCCUUGCAGGAAGCUCGGGGGAUAUAAUUUAUCCGUGCAGCAAGUGGACAGUGUACCUGAUGUACAACAGAAGAAGAGGCUCAGAUCUACUGCUACUUGUGGAAUCUUGUGAUGAUAGUCCGUAGAGACGCUGCUGCUUGUCCACAUGAGCAAACCCUGAAGCAAAACAAGAAGAGGUCAACUCCAAAGUAAGCAGUCCUCUUUGUUUUAUGGUAGUUUAUUUUCUUUGAUGCAUAGCAAGAACCAUUCAAAGAUCAGCACGCAAGCGAAGUCACAUCGAUCUAAAAUGGUUGCAUACGCAUGCCACCAAAUAUAAUAGAGUUA